Molecule: long non-coding RNA, 1393 nt
Filed under: Pandoravirus quercus
Description: hypothetical ncRNA
Source: RNAcentral
GCACGGCACAAGAUCGGGACGCUCCUGGAUUCGAUAGGCCAGGCCGAUCGUGUCCUGGAGGGUAAACACCACACCAUGCGCGACCAGCCACGCCAGGCCGCGCGCCAGGCUCUCGGCGUCUGUGUCGAUGCGCUCCGUGAUGAUCGCGUUGGAUAGUUUCUUUGCCCAACGGCGGGCACUAUGCGUGGUUGGAUCAAAACGCGGCGCCACGUGUUGUGCAACGUUGAUACUGCCCGAGGCGACGGCGUACUCGAUGGCGUGGCGCUCGUUGUAGAACCAGCCCUCGGCGUCGGCACAUGCAAACACGUCGACUCGGUCGUGCGUGGCCGCAGGCUGCACCCAAUAGGUUCCGAACGUGCCAAUGUCCUCGCCAAAUGCGCACUUGCGGCGGUCCCGGCAGUAGCAUGUCUGCAUCGCAGCCAGCCGCGGGCAGUUGGCAGAAAAGUCGACUCGCCUUUGCUUGACGGCCUUGGCCACCAGGUGGCGCAGCGCGUUGAUCUUGCCGGCCGCACCGGCGACAGACAUGGCACGGAUAAAGAGAUCCACUGCCAGAUGACUGCCAUAGUGUGAUAAGCGGGUUUGACUAGCCGCACAGCAGAGGAGGGCAGAGACGAGUGGACCAUCAUCGCGUGUGAUUGCCGCGCGCAGGCAUGCGCCCACAGUCUCUGGAAGCAUAAUGUUGUACCACCGAAAGAGAUCGAGUACGGCAUCGGCUCGCCCCAAGAGACACGCCAGGCCGACUAUGUUGCGACAGGCACGGUUGUGCCUAACCAGUGAUGCGUCGUCGUCGGUCGCAUUGCUCGUCUUGUGUGACGGUGACGGCGGAGAUGAGGGUUUGUGCGGUUCAGGGAACCACUCGGUCGAUGACACCGUCGCCGAGGUCAGACGCUCGACCAUGUCCACGAAUUGGCGUACGAUGAGGCAUGCCGGCGCCGUGGCCAGCAGCGCCGCGAUCUCGCCACGAUGGGGAUCGCUGGGGACCACAAAGUCUCGGGCCGCCUCCUCUGGGGUCAUCCCAGACUGACACUGCGAGACCACCAGGGCGAUGGAAGCGGCUUGGCCUUUGACCCAUGCGUCGGUGGCGCCUGGAUGGCGUGCGAGCCGUGCGGCAUCGACACUGAGCGGACAGGAGACGCAUGCACGCAGUUUAGGAGACACUUGGGCGAGAUGAAAGCGCCAGCAAGGAGCGAGAAUCGGAUGGCCCGCGGCAUCGACGCCGUUGGCGAUAAAUAACAGAACCUCGGGCGGCAAUGUGUCGAGUCGCACAGGCACAUAUUGGUCGGUGUGUUGUGGGGGAUCGGUGGUGUGCAUGCCUGCAAAUGUGUUGGCUGGCUGUGCGCCAGCGAUAUGGCAUAACCCGUGCAAGGCAAUUUGCUGAAAAUAAGCGUCAUCC